CAUACAAGUAGUAGGGAAAGGAAACUGGACGACCCUUCGGGGAGCUUGAACAGGUGCUGCAUGGCUGUUGUCAGCUCGUGUCGUGAGAUGUUCGGUUAAGUCCGCUAACGAGCGCAACCCUCGCUGUGUGUUACAAGUGUCACACGGAACUGCCGGUCAUAAACCGGAGGAAGGUGGGGAUGACGUCAAGUCAGCAUGGCCUUUAUAUCCUGGGCUACACACACGCUACAAUGGGAAGGGACAAUAGGUUGCGAAGCCGCGAGGCGGAGCCAAUCCAGCAAAACUUCCCUCAGUUCAGAAUUGCAGGCUGCAACUCGCCUGCAUGAAGUUGGAGUUGCUAGUAAACGCAGGUCAGCCAUACUGCGUUGAAUACGUUCCCGGGGCUU
This 386-nucleotide ribosomal RNA is filed under the name uncultured Levilinea sp. RNAcentral describes it as "bacterial SSU rRNA". It matches the Rfam family "Bacterial small subunit ribosomal RNA", at positions 985 to 1382 of the family's 1533-position model. The record is from RNAcentral. Lineage: Bacteria; Bacillati; Chloroflexota; Anaerolineae; Anaerolineales; Anaerolineaceae.